GGUGCUUCAGGAGGAAGACAAAGAGAUGCCUGUGAUCUUUCAUCUUGAGGGAGCAGUUAAAGAGGCAGAGUUUCACCCCAAGCAGUGAGAGUGGCACCAUCCAGCUCCCUCUCCGGGAACCGUACUCAGCAUCUCAGCAUCAAGCUGCCAGGGCUCUGAACUGUGCCUAUUUGGAAUCCAUCUGGAGUUGCUUAAUGUGUAU
This is a long non-coding RNA of Globicephala melas (long-finned pilot whale), 202 nucleotides long. RefSeq lists it as uncharacterized. NCBI's taxonomy places the organism in Eukaryota, Metazoa, Chordata, Mammalia, Artiodactyla, Delphinidae. The record is from RefSeq and is a predicted model, not a curated record.